CCAUCAGCUCAAUGACAUCAUCACCCUCACAGUCCAUCCGUCCAAUCAUCUCCAUGGCCACUCAUGGUCCAUCUGUCCAAUAUCCGUGUCCAACAGAGUUCCAGAACAUUCUGAGGGUCCCACCAGCUCAAUGGCAUCAUCACCCUCAUGGUCCAUCCAUCCAAUCAUCUCCAUGGCCACUCAUGGUCCAUGUGUCCAUCCAAUCAUCUCCAUGGCCACUCAUGGUCCGUCCAUCCAAUCAUCUCCAUGGCCACUCAUGGUCCGUCCGUCCAAUCAUCUCCAUGGCCACUCAUGGUCCAUGUGUCCAU
This 308-nucleotide long non-coding RNA is filed under the name Zonotrichia albicollis (white-throated sparrow). Its description in RNAcentral is "lncRNA (ENSZALG00000000645.1)". The record is from RNAcentral. Lineage: Eukaryota; Metazoa; Chordata; Aves; Passeriformes; Passerellidae.